This is a long non-coding RNA of Astatotilapia calliptera (eastern happy), 1644 nucleotides long. NCBI's taxonomy places the organism in Eukaryota, Metazoa, Chordata, Actinopteri, Cichliformes, Cichlidae. The record is from Ensembl.
UUCCAAUUGAGUUACAGCACUAACAAAUCUGCUGUAAUUACAGUGUAUUGAAUUAUCAGAGCUGCACCUCUUUCACAAAAGGAGAGAUGUGCUGUAUGUUAGUUUGGAAACCAAACAGAUAAACCACAACUCAAAAGACAGAAGACGGUAUGUUAAUGGAAGGAAAAAAAGUUUCUCUUUUUUGGGUGUGUGGAAUCAGAGCAUUAACCAACUGAUUGCUUGUCUUCCACUCUAAGUGCCUAUUAUUCAUCCCAACAAAAUGCAUAUCAGGAAAAUUGCAGCCUGGCCAGCUUAUUUGCUUCAAGUGCUGCUGCUGAGCUACUCUGAGAGCAAAAUGAAAGAAAAUGGCUUGUGCUCGUAGUUUGAAAUAACACAGAGAAAGGAGGAGGAAAAAGUCUUGUACUCCCUCUCAGUCUAAAUGCAGGCCUGUUUUAUUGUGAAUUAAAUUGAAGUGGAACACAAGAGGAGGAAGAGUUUGAAAUGCGGAGAGCAGAAGAGGAAGGGCAGGGAGAAGGGAGAGAUAAGGGCUGAGAGGCUUAGAGACAGGAAGAGAGCAGAAUGAGGAGGAAGCAUGGAGGCAGAGAAAGUUGGGGAGGGUGGGGUGGGGGGGAUGCUGAAUCAGAGUGGGAAGAGAGAGAUGCUGCGAUAAGUACUGCAGAGAGGAAGUGGGGCUGUCAAGAUAAAGACAGACUCAGACAGAGGGAGAAGGAGAUUAGAGGCAGACUCCGACAUUUCGAAGAACGACAAGGAAAGAAGGGAAGCAAGUAAAAAGACGAAGAAAAAGAGCGACAGAAAAGGGGAAAGACAGGCAGAGGAAAGAGAGAAAGAGAGAGAGGCCAAGGAAGUGUCUUCGGGGUGCCAGGCAGGAGGAAGUGCCAGCCGCCGUAACCACGGCAGUGGCACUGGUCGCUAUGGGAACCAGCAGAGCCGGGGAAAAAAAAAGAAGAAGAAGAAACACAGUUCGGUCAUCGAGGCCAAACUGACUCUGUCCUUCCUCUUUUUUUUCUCAAGGAAGGAAAAACAAGAGGAAAUUAUGUGAAGCAGCAUUCACUGUUUGUAACCUUUUGGUAUUUUACCUCCAGUCAGACGAUCUGUUUCUCCACUUGGAAUCCUACUUGUGGGAAAUUAGUUAUGUGAGGAAAAAAUAGCAUGUGGGACAAACAACCUGCAGCACAUGUCCACACUUAUGGGAUGAUUGCUGUGACAUUUUAAGGACAGAUGGCAGAAGCUGCCACUGUAGCUGUAGGUUAUUGAGCAGAGCGGCACAGGGUCAGGUUCAUUCAACUACUUACUAAAGCUGUAGCGCUUAGGCUACAUUAGAAUCCAUUGUUAAAAUCCUCCCGGCCCACAUCCUACAAGACUGUUGCCUGACCUGGAAGUGGAGGAGCUGUGGUGCAGCCAUGCACUUUCUAUUACAAGGAACUUGUAACAGAAACCUUAGAGGUUACUGGAUGUCAGGCUGCAUCAGACACAACUGUUACUAGAUAGGGCUGGAUCUGCGUUUUCAUGCAUUAAUACCUUCCAAACGUCCACCAUUAUCAUAUAAGUAUGAAGAGAGUGGAGUCGAAUGCAGUUUAGUUAAGCCUAGAUUAAAUGAUUGUGAUAUAUCAGCUAGCAAAAAGCAUUAUCUUUUAGUUUUGGGCA